UACGUAGGGGGCAAGCGUUGUCCGGAUUUAUUGGGCGUAAAGAGCGUGUAGGCGGCCAUGCAGGUCAGCUGUGAAAACUCGAGGCUCAACCUCGAGACGUCGGUUGAAACCGCAUGGCUAGAGUCCGGAAGAGGAGAGUGGAAUUCCCGGUGUAGCGGUGAAAUGCGCAGAUAUCGGGAAGAACACCUAUGGCGAAGGCAGCUCUCUGGGACGGUACUGACGCUGAGACACGAAAGCGUGGGGAGCAAACAGG
RNAcentral lists this ribosomal RNA (253 nucleotides) under uncultured bacterium. RNAcentral describes it as "partial 16S ribosomal RNA". It matches the Rfam family "Bacterial small subunit ribosomal RNA", at positions 524 to 776 of the family's 1533-position model. The record is from RNAcentral.